This 355-nucleotide ribosomal RNA is filed under the name uncultured fungus. Its description in RNAcentral is "LSU rRNA". It matches the Rfam family "Eukaryotic large subunit ribosomal RNA", at positions 320 to 667 of the family's 3401-position model. Lineage: Eukaryota; Fungi. The record is from RNAcentral.
AUAUAAGUGAGAGACUGAUAGCAAACAAGUACCGUGAGGGAAAGAUGAAAAGAACUUUGAAAAUAGAGUUAACAGUACGUGAAAUUGCUGAAAGGGAAACGUUUGAAGUUAGUUUUGUAUUCGUUGGAUCAGCUUCGCAAGGAGUGUAUUCUGAUGAUAAGCAAGUCAACAUCAGUCUAUGAGUGUUGGAUAAGGGUUUUGAGAAUGUAGCAAUUUAAUUGUGUUAUAGCUUGAGACUUGGAUACGAUGCUUUGGAUUGAGGAACGCGUAGUAAGCUUUGAGCGGAUUCGAAAGGAUCUCCUUACUAUGGAUGUUGGUGAAAUAACUUUAAGCGACCCGUCUUGAAACACGGACC